GCGAGGGCUGGGCCCGGAAACACGGGUAGUUCCAAGAGAUUUCGCGGUAGUGCCUGGAGAGGGGAGACCCUGCCUGGGACACAAGUCCCGUUGCAUACUGGCGUUCUGACCUCCAAACCAGCGAGAAGAGAAAGCAGAUACAAUAAAUAAACCAAGAGGGAAUAAACUUAGAGGCAAACGCGGCCCUCGGCAGUUCCUGGGGAAAGAUCAAAGGCCGUAGGAAGUGCCCCGCAGAGGAAAUCUGCAGUCACUAGCGACAGGACCGCGCCCGCCCCCUCCCCACCUUGCAACGCUGCCAGGACUCGGUGGGCGUCCUGGCUCUUCACAGUUAGCCUAUGUUUGGGAGCGCGGGAGGAAACAAUGUUGACUGAUAUAUUCUUCUCCCCUCCCCAGCCCCCCAAACACACACACACAGGAUUUCUACUCCUCUUUUAAGAAUGAAAUAUCCCCUGGCUGGAG
This 459-nucleotide long non-coding RNA is filed under the name Homo sapiens (human). RNAcentral's name for it is "HSALNT0086765". The record is from RNAcentral. Lineage: Eukaryota; Metazoa; Chordata; Mammalia; Primates; Hominidae.